AACCCAUUGUCUAAAACGCAAUCUCUUAGUUAUUGUGGGGAGGAAUGUCAAAGACAACUACUAAUUGGCUUUUCUUUUUAGAAGUUUACAGUAUUGAGUGAAAUACAUGUGAACCCUCAUUGCAAAUUUACUAAUUUUCAAAUGGUGAAACUCACGUGACCUGAAGUAGAAAAAGAGCGGAGGGGCUAAGAUGAUACUGUUAUCCAGCUCUAUGACCUUGGGCACACAACCUAAUCUCUCUGAGCCAUCGGUUUCCUCAUCUGUAAAAUAGAGGAUGCUGUAUCCACCUGUUGGGGCCACCUCGCAGAGAUAAGAUGGACUCCUGCCUGCAAAUUUGGUUUGAAUGUUAAGACUGAUGAUGCCACACAGACACCAAGAAGGCUUGAAAAGGCUUAUAACUCAUAGAAUGAGGCUUUCUGGGAGAGAGCAAGGUGGGUUCCCAAGCAGGUCCAAGGAUGGCUCAGGGUUUCAGGGAAAGGAGACUGGAUUUGGGGUUUAUGGUAGUGAGGGGCUGGGAUGGGGGUGCCCCCUUCCAGCUGGGGUUUCUAUGGUUUGAACUUCCCACCGGUGCCAAAGGAGGGAACACCUGGGCUUUUUUAUAAGCUUGUGGGGCAGAAGGACAAGAGGCCUGGUAGGGCUUGAAAGGUGUCAGAAGCUACGCAUCAGACCUGUGGUCAGAUUCUCUAUUUACUAGUGUAGAGGGUUGUUGUGAGAGUUAAAUGAGAUUGCCCCCAAACAGCCUUUAACACAGGGGCCAGCAAACAGUAAAUACUCAGUAAAUGUUACCUUUUGAAAUAAACUUUGUUUCUUAAAACAAUCACUUUUUAAAACUCACCCCAAAAAUGCAAGAAACACCACCUGCUUUUUCCUUGUUCCCGUUCUUUAUACUAGAUGCAUUUUUAAAAGACUUCAACUUAAUCUCUACGUGUGAAGAAACAAUUACCAGCAGUCCUCCAGCAACAAAAAGGCUGUGUUCUAAGCAUUCUGUUUUAAAUCGAUUGUCACUUGGAACGCAUUUUUCCAUGGAAACAGUGUUAUAAAUAGAGUGAGGUUCCCAGAGGGAUGCUCAAAUUCUUCCUAAACUGUCAUAUAGCUGAAACAGUCCUGGAUAGAACAGGGAACUCUGAAUCCUAGAACAGUACUCGGGCCUCUUGGAAUCCCGAGCUCUUUCAGCUCAGGGCAACCCUGGGUGAGGCUGGACCCAAGACUUUUGGAAACCUUGGUGAGGAGGAGCUGGCUGAAUUGGAGCUCAAUGGAGCAUGGUGUGGCUGAUGGGGGCCAUAUGCAAUUAUGACUGUACUUCCAGACAACCUCUACGUCAGACCCCAAUGGAAUUGUCUUGUUGGGCUUUGGGGGCUGUCCCUCAUCUCUGUGGGUAGGGUAAUACUUGCCCUGAAGGGAAGAGAUGCUUCAACUCUCAGCCAUCCUAAGGAGGAGCCAAUCCAGGAGCAGGACACGAGCACUCCAGUGGUGGACCCUAGCCUAGGAGCAGCACUCACCAGGCGCAGCCCGAGAAAUAUGUGGAAAGGUGUGCACGACAAAAGGCCAGAUCUCCUGAUAGGAAGCAGGAUGGAGGCUGGCACAACUUACAGAUGCAUCAGAUAUUGAUGGAUGCCAGAGAUCUGUUUACAGAUAAGCAAGAUUUGGUACCUGCCCUCAAAAUAAUCCUGAGCAGUCUUUGUAUGCCUUUCCUUUUGUGUCCUUUCAGAUCCUUAUACCUCAAAUAUCAUGGAGUAUGCUCUUUACUUUCUAUGUUGAGAACUUAAUUGUUGCUUUGACUACCAAAUAGCUCACACCCGAGAGCCCUGGUAAGCUUCAUUUCAGCCUCCAGGCCAACAUCCCAUACCAGCUUUCACCCUCCAAAAUGACAUGGCGGGUUGUUGAAAGUUAAUUCCUCCUGGAACUCUGUGAUAACACUAAAAUAUGUCCCAGAAGCUCUUUUAAAGGUUCACUUCUACGCAUAGAUUUCACUAUGUAUUUACAGACACUUGCGUGUUUUCGAAGACGUCAUUACAGUUUUCCCUCCUCAUAAUUAUGCCCCAUGUGAAUAAAAUAUGUGCUCUGAAAGUC
Molecule: long non-coding RNA, 2070 nt
Organism: Equus caballus (horse)
Lineage: Eukaryota; Metazoa; Chordata; Mammalia; Perissodactyla; Equidae
Source: RefSeq, a predicted model, not a curated record